Long non-coding RNA from Oreochromis aureus, 401 nucleotides. NCBI's taxonomy places the organism in Eukaryota, Metazoa, Chordata, Actinopteri, Cichliformes, Cichlidae. The record is from Ensembl.
AAGAAGAUCAAAAGCUUGUUAGACACAGGUUAUAAUGGAAGCAUAAAAGGGAUGAGAGGAACUUUACAUAACAUAGAAAUCCUGCAACAAUUCGUAAAUUGCCCAAACACAGUGUUCAGACCGGAUAUGCGCUACCCGUUAAAGGGGGCGAAGAAAUCAGGCCUAAGUCUGAAAAAUGAAAUGGGUUAACUCGAUAGAGGAUGUUUCCAAAGGUAGAGAAAAUAAUGUAGGACCUUUUACCAGGAGAAAGCUAACUGUAUCUUUUACACUUUACAGUGUGCAUUGAGGGAAGUCAGGAAUAUGUUCAGACCGGAUAUGCGCUACCCGUUAAAGGGGGCGAAGAAAUCAGGCCUAAGUUUGAAAAAUGAAAUGGGUUAACUCGAUAGAGGAUGUUUCCAAAG